UACAUGCCUUAAAUCCGUCCUACGAUUU
RNAcentral lists this small RNA (28 nucleotides) under Bombyx mori (domestic silkworm). RNAcentral's name for it is "ovarian small RNA-20418". Lineage: Eukaryota; Metazoa; Arthropoda; Insecta; Lepidoptera; Bombycidae. The record is from RNAcentral.